This 24-nucleotide non-coding RNA is filed under the name Cricetulus griseus (Chinese hamster). The record is from RNAcentral. Lineage: Eukaryota; Metazoa; Chordata; Mammalia; Rodentia; Cricetidae.
UACCGUGGCCCUAUUAUUAGGAGG